GAAAUUAAAGAGGAAUUUGACAAUGUUAGAGUUGGCAUGAAAAUCUUUAUAAGAGAGGAAAAAGGGGAGUUGAGACUUGAGAGGAGAGGCGACGUGAAGAGGAAGUGGCGAAGAAGCAGUGGGAAGAGGAGGGUGGAGGCAGAGGCGGAGGGGGCGAAGAGUGGAGGCGCUCGUGGAAGAGGGAGGAUGAGGGUGGAGGCGGGCCUAGAGUAAGGGAAGAGAGUGGAGGCGAGGCGUGUUUGGACUUUGAAGUGGAACGGCAUAAAUUAGGAUUGAAUUUUCAGAAUUUGGUUUCAAAUUUGAGUGGUAAUUUGGUCGAUCAACGAGAAAAACAAUAAGAAAAAGAAGAGAAAAAGUGCAAAUUUAAUCCAAAUUUGAAAGGUUAGCGGAGUCUCAACAGUUGGUACUACAGAAAAUGAGGCAUCCAUUAUCCCGAGCGCCAGUGGAUCUCGCCGCCGCAACCCUUCCCUCAUCUUAUUCCAUUGUUCACAUGCCGCCGCCACGUCACCUGAGACCAGUCAAUUUGUUUUGAGGCAUAAGAAUUUUUGAUUUGAUGCACCAACUUGUAGCGAAACCUAGUGAAGAUUGUCCGUUUUCAUUGUUGCUUUUUGAAUCUAGCCAGCAAAAUAAUGUAAUUGCUCGAAGAAUGGUUGCUUUUAUGGGUUUGAUACAUCAAUAGUCGGACUGACAAUAGAUUUCAAGUAAGGUUUUUAGUGUUUGAUAGCAUGUGAAAUUCUCUCAAUAUGGCAUGAAACUCUCAAAAACUGUUGAUUUCCUUUUCUCCUUCUAGUUUUAAUUUAUCAGAAGUUCUAAACUCCAGAUACUAGUACUACUUCCCAGAGAUGAUAGAAAAUGCAGAGUAAAUAAGAUUCUUUAGGCAGUGUAUAUCUUUAUUUCUUUCUGAUACUAGAAAAACGUCCAAAAAAAGCUAUGGCACUGACGAAAUAUUGAACCAGAUCAGAACUGUUCACCCUCUUUACUUUUUAAGUUCAUGUUUUUUGGACUGGGAAAGAAUUUAUUGAUAGUUCCGAUUGAAUCUUAGAACCCGGCAUCCUUACGAAGUUUCGGUUUGGUUUUAUAUUUAUUAGUUCAAGCAUCCUCAUGAAGUUUUCAUAAGUAUGGAGAAAAUUAUGAUGACGAUCAUUCAUAAUAAUGUGGACAAUGAUAAGUUGUCAUUGGUGCUUGUUAAGGUCCUUCUUAAUAAUUUGAGAAGAGAGAAUCAGGUAAUUCUAUCUUAAUUUUGCAAAUGUGAUGACCUGCUUUUGCCACCAAUGUUUUUUUAAUUUUGCAGGACUCAGAAGAUACUCCAGGCAAAUCUGGAUUAGAAACAGAAGCUGAUUUAAUUGAGGGCAAUGGAACUCAAAAUUCCAAAAACAAACUGUACUAUGAAAAUCAAGGGAUGACAUCUCAUUGUUUUGAGGAUCCUGAUGAAGCAGGCAAAGCAAUGCACGGGCAACAGGAACAAAAACCAGAAGAAUUGCAUAUUGGGUGAAAAAUAAUUCGAAGACCACGUUCUCUACAGAAAGCAGAGGAGGGCUAUGAUCCUUUCUGGUUGUUUAUUGAAGAACAUUAAUUAUCCAGCAAAAACCAAAACGUUGAAGGAUUUGUUGACCAAACCUGUAAGCAAAAAUAUCAGCGAUUCCAUUUCUCCAAGGCCUAGUAAAAUGAAGAAAACGUCCAAAAGUAAUGAAGAAGCCUCUGCCAAUAAAGCUUUAUAGCCUACUAGUGAAGAAACAAUUGUUUUGUCGGAGGACGAGGUUCAACUUACAGGUAUCUUUGUCAAGAGACGCUCUGGAAAAGGGAAAGGGUCUUUGAUGAAGGGAUCUCCUGUGAAGAAAAGCAGGAAAAAGGCUGUUGAUGCUGAAGACUUAAACGAAGAUAUCAUGAGCUGCUCUGAAAAAGGUCAAUGGUCUUUGACGAAGAUAUCUCCUGUGAAGAAAAGCAGGAGAAAGACUGUGGUUCCUGAAGAUCUAAAAGAAGAUAUUGUUGUAAUAAAUGAUCCUUUAUAUAUUCUAAACACUACUUUAUGGUCUUUUAUAUAAUAAACUCAAUGGUUAUAAUGGUA
Salvia splendens (bonfire salvia) is the source of this 2065-nucleotide RNA transcript. RefSeq lists it as uncharacterized. The transcript has 3 exons. Lineage: Eukaryota; Viridiplantae; Streptophyta; Magnoliopsida; Lamiales; Lamiaceae. The record is from RefSeq and is a predicted model, not a curated record.